This 452-nucleotide long non-coding RNA is filed under the name Ananas comosus (pineapple). RNAcentral's name for it is "long non-coding RNA (ACOM_LNC014394)". Lineage: Eukaryota; Viridiplantae; Streptophyta; Magnoliopsida; Poales; Bromeliaceae. The record is from RNAcentral.
UGUUGAGAUUUAAAUGGGUUUGAUUUGGAUUAUUCUGAGAGGAUUACAAAUAAUCCAAUGGGUGUCGUUUGGUUCGCAUUAUGAAAGAUUACUAGAAAUAAAAGAUAUUCGAGAAUCUUAUUCCUAUUCAUCCUAUUACUAAGAAUGUGGAAUUCCUGUGUUUGGUUCGCACGCUAAUAUUAAUUAGCCAUAUUAUUUAAUAUUACAAAAAAUAUACAAUUUAUUUAUUUAUUUAUUUAUUUAUUUAUUUUUAAAUAAUGUUACCAAAAGUUUAAACAUUUUUUUAGAAAAGAGAGAGAGAGUAUAAGUUAGAGAGAGAGAGCAUAAUUAAAAAAAUAGAAAAAAAAUAUAGUCGAAAUUAGAGGGAGUGAGAGAGUUGAAAUUUUAGAAAGAGAGAGAGAGAGAGAAAGCUUAGUUAGAGAGAGAAAAAAAGUUCAGAGAAAGAUAUAAGG